RNAcentral lists this ribosomal RNA (253 nucleotides) under uncultured bacterium. RNAcentral describes it as "partial 16S ribosomal RNA". It matches the Rfam family "Bacterial small subunit ribosomal RNA", at positions 524 to 776 of the family's 1533-position model. The record is from RNAcentral.
UACGUAGGUGGCAAGCGUUGUCCGGAUUUAUUGGGUUUAAAGGGUGCGUAGGCGGUCCUAUAAGUCAGUGCUGAAAUAUCCCGGCUUAACCGGGAGGGUGGCAUUGAUACUGCAGGACUUGAGUAAAGUUGAGGUAGGCGGAAUUGACGGUGUAGCGGUGAAAUGCUUAGAUAUCGGGAGGAACAUCAGUGGCGAAGGCGGCCUUCUGGUCCAGUACUGACACUCAAGUGCGAAAGCGUGGGGAGCAAACAGG